Diplogelasinospora grovesii is the source of this 98-nucleotide non-coding RNA. The record is from the annotation of a GenBank genome assembly. Lineage: Eukaryota; Fungi; Ascomycota; Sordariomycetes; Sordariales; Diplogelasinosporaceae.
UCUUCCGUAGUAUAGUGGUUAGUAUAUGAGCUUGUCAUCUUCUCGAAAGAGACAGAGGAACAACGCUCGGGACCCGGGUUCAAUUCCCGGCGGGAGAG